RNAcentral lists this non-coding RNA (21 nucleotides) under Caenorhabditis elegans. Lineage: Eukaryota; Metazoa; Nematoda; Chromadorea; Rhabditida; Rhabditidae. The record is from RNAcentral.
UAUUUUGAAUAAAAUUUUCGG